UGGGGAAUAUUGCACAGUGGGGGAAACCCUGAUGCAGCGACGCCGCGUGAACGAAGAAGGUAUUCGUAUCGUAAAGUUCUGUCCUAUGGGAAGAUAAUGACAGUACCAUAGAAGAAAGCUCCGGCUAAAUACGUGCCAGCAGCCGCGGUAAUACGUAUGGAGCGAGCGUUGUCCGGAAUUAUUGGGCGUAAAGGGUACGCAGGCGGUUUAAUAAGUCGAAUGUUAAAGAUCGGGGCUCAACCCCGCAAAGCAUUGGAAACUGAUAAACUUGAGUAGUGGAGAGGAAAGUGGAAUUCCUAGUGUAGUGGUGAAAUACGUAGAUAUUAGGAGGAAUACCAGUAGCGAAGGCGACUUUCUGGACACAAACUGACGCUGAGGUACGAAAGCGUGGGGAGCAAACAGG
RNAcentral lists this ribosomal RNA (403 nucleotides) under bacterium. Its description in RNAcentral is "partial 16S ribosomal RNA". It matches the Rfam family "Bacterial small subunit ribosomal RNA", at positions 355 to 776 of the family's 1533-position model. The record is from RNAcentral.